Molecule: non-coding RNA, 31 nt
Filed under: Rattus norvegicus (Norway rat)
Lineage: Eukaryota; Metazoa; Chordata; Mammalia; Rodentia; Muridae
Source: RNAcentral
UUGCCAAGUGAAUGCCAAAUGUAUGGGAAAU